Molecule: ribosomal RNA, 900 nt
Filed under: Sarcocystis capracanis
Lineage: Eukaryota; Apicomplexa; Conoidasida; Eucoccidiorida; Sarcocystidae
Description: SSU rRNA
Rfam family: Eukaryotic small subunit ribosomal RNA
Source: RNAcentral
UUUUUAUACGGCGAAACUGCGAAUGGCUCAUUAAAACAGUUAUAGUUUAUUUGAUAGUCAUCUGAGAUGAAAGUCUACUACAUGGAUAACCGUGGUAAUUCUAUGGCUAAUACAUGCGCAAAUAUCCUUUUUCGCAAGGGAGAGGAUAGUGUUUAUUAGAUACAGAACCAAUACACCAGUGUCAAAACUGGUGUGAAAAAGGUGAUUCAUAGUAACCGAACGGAUCGCAUUAUGGUCAUUUUAUAAUGGCUGGCGAUAGAUCAUUCAAGUUUCUGACCUAUCAGCUUUCGACGGUAGUGUAUUGGACUACCGUGGCAGUGACGGGUAACGGGGAAUUAGGGUUCGAUUCCGGAGAGGGAGCCUGAGAAACGGCUACCACAUCUAAGGAAGGCAGCAGGCGCGCAAAUUACCCAAUCCUGACUCAGGGAGGUAGUGACAAGAAAUAACAACACUGGAAAUUUUAUUUCUAGUGAUUGGAAUGAUGGGAAUUUAAACCCCUUUCAGAGUAACAAUUGGAGGGCAAGUCUGGUGCCAGCAGCCGCGGUAAUUCCAGCUCCAAUAGCGUAUAUUAAAGUUGUUGCAGUUAAAAAGCUCGUAGUUGGAUGUCUGCUGGAAGCAAUCAGUCCGCCCUAUUUGUAGGGUGUGCACUUGAUGAAUUCUGGCAUUUUUGUCCCAAUGAUGUAGCGGGGCGGUGGUAUUGGGUGAAAGCUCAAUAGCGUCUUUUCCGAUUAUUGGGAUACUGUUACUUUGAGAAAAUUAGAGUGUUUGAAGCAGGCUAAUUGCCUUGAAUACUGCAGCAUGGAAUAACAAUAUAGGAUUUCGGUUCUAUUUUGUUGGUUUCUAGGACUGAAAUAAUGAUUAAUAGGGACAGUUGGGGGCAUUCGUAUUUAACUGUCAGAG